GAUGAAGGACGUUACUAACGACGAUAUGCUUUGGGGAGCUGUAAGUAAGCUUUGAUCCAGAGAUUUCCGAAUGGGGAAACCCAGCAUGAGUUAUGUCAUGUUAUCGAUAUGUGAAUACAUAGCAUAUCAGAAGGCACACCCGGAGAACUGAAACAUCUUAGUACCCGGAGGAAGAGAAAGAAAAUUCGAUUCCCUUAGUAGCGGCGAGCGAAACGGGAAGAGCCCAA
This 227-nucleotide ribosomal RNA is filed under the name Staphylococcus aureus. Its description in RNAcentral is "partial 23S ribosomal RNA". It matches the Rfam family "Bacterial large subunit ribosomal RNA", at positions 48 to 272 of the family's 2925-position model. Lineage: Bacteria; Bacillati; Bacillota; Bacilli; Caryophanales; Staphylococcaceae. The record is from RNAcentral.